Mus pahari (shrew mouse) is the source of this 414-nucleotide non-coding RNA. The record is from the annotation of a RefSeq genome assembly. NCBI's taxonomy places the organism in Eukaryota, Metazoa, Chordata, Mammalia, Rodentia, Muridae.
AUGGAUUCACAGGCCCAGGUCCUUAUGUUGCUGCUGCUAUGUGUAUCUGGUGAGAAAUGUAAAAGUACCUGUGAGGACAUUGUGAUGACUCAGUCUCCAUCCUCCCUGGCUGUGUCAGCAGGAGAGAAGGUCACUAUGAGCUGCAAGUCCAGUCAGAGUCUUUUAUGGAGUAGCAAUCAAAAGAACUACUUGGCCUGGUACCAGCAGAAACCAGGGCAGUCUCCUAAACUGCUGAUCUNCUGGGCAUCCACUAGGGAAUCUGGGGUCCCUGAUCGCUUCANAGGCAGUGGAUCUGGGACAGAUUUCACUCUGACCAUCAGCAGUGUGCAGGCUGAAGACCUGGCAGUUUAUUACUGUCAGCAAUAUUAUAAUAUUUAUGGAGGUUCUACAAAUAUCCUAAAGCUUUUUGCAUAG